AGAGAUGUGUGAUGACGCAUAUCAAUAAGCGGAGGAAAAGAAACUAACAAGGAUUCCCCUAGUAACGGCGAGUGAAGCGGGAAGAGCUCAAAUUUGAAAUCUUAAAGGGUUUCCCUUUACGAAUUGUAGUUUAAAGAAGUGUUUUCUGUUGGAGUUUCGGUAAAAGUUCUUUGGAAUAGGACAUCAUAGAGGGUGAGAAUCCCGUAUUUGACCGUUACUUUCCAGCUGUGUGAUACACUUUCAAAGAGUCGGAUUGUUUGGGAAUGCAGUCCAAAAUGGGUGGUAAAUUUCAUCUAAAGCUAAAUAUUGGCGAGAGACCGAUAGCGAACAAGUACCGUGAGGGAAAGAUGAAAAGAACUUUGAAAAGAGAGUUAAACAGUACGUGAAAUUGUCAAAAGGGAAGCGUUUGACACCAGUGUUGUUUAGUUGAAAAUCAAUUCAAUAAUUUUUGAUCUUGAGUAGUAUUGACUUCAUCAGCUUGCUGCUCUCUUUUCGGAAAUUAUUGAAUGCACUUUUCAGUUAACAAGUCAACAUCAAUUUCUUUUGUUGUAAAAGGGUAAGAGGAAGGUGGCUUACGCUUCGGCGUAAGUGUUUAUAGCCUUUUACCUCUGCAAUCGGAGAGAUUGAGGUCUGCAGCGUAGAUCCUUCGGGGUUAGAUACACUUGUGCUAAGCUAUAGCCUUGUAUAGACAACUUGUUGACUAUGCUCAGUCAUGUAGUUUACUCGCUUAUGCUAUUUUACCUACGCUUAGGAUGUUGAGUCGUAGAGCACGCAG
This 775-nucleotide ribosomal RNA is filed under the name uncultured Neocallimastigales. RNAcentral describes it as "partial large subunit ribosomal RNA". It matches the Rfam family "Eukaryotic large subunit ribosomal RNA", at positions 23 to 632 of the family's 3401-position model. Lineage: Eukaryota; Fungi; Neocallimastigomycota; Neocallimastigomycetes; Neocallimastigales. The record is from RNAcentral.